Molecule: ribosomal RNA, 250 nt
Filed under: uncultured archaeon
Lineage: Archaea
Description: partial 16S ribosomal RNA
Rfam family: Eukaryotic small subunit ribosomal RNA
Source: RNAcentral
UUCCAGCUCCAAUAGCGUAUAUUAAAGUUGUUGCAGUUAAAAAGCUCGUAGUUGGAUUUCAAGAAACGCAUCUGGGCAACCAGUUUGCUUUCUACCAGUCUUUGACUGUUACUGUGAGAAAAUUAGAGUGUUUCAAGCAGGCAAUUGCAGGAAUACAUUAGCAUGGAAUAACGAAUGUAUCUACAAUUUGGUUGAUUGUAGAAUACGAUUAAUAGGGACAGUUGGGGGCAUUAGUAUUUAAUUGUCAGAG